This 140-nucleotide unclassified non-coding RNA is filed under the name Oidiodendron echinulatum. RNAcentral describes it as "partial internal transcribed spacer 2". RNAcentral also lists the same sequence under 1 other name. Lineage: Eukaryota; Fungi; Ascomycota; Leotiomycetes; Myxotrichaceae. The record is from RNAcentral.
CAACCCUCAAGCUCUGCUUGGUGUUGGGCCACGCCCUCGCGGCCGGCCCCAAAGCCAGUGGCGGCGCCGUCCGGCUCUAAGCGUAGUACAUCUCUCGCUCUAGGGCCCGGCGGCUGCCUGCCAGAACCCCAAACUCUUAU